This 373-nucleotide ribosomal RNA is filed under the name uncultured bacterium. RNAcentral describes it as "bacterial SSU rRNA". It matches the Rfam family "Bacterial small subunit ribosomal RNA", at positions 525 to 896 of the family's 1533-position model. The record is from RNAcentral.
ACGGAGGGGGCGAGCGUUGUCCGAAGUUACUGGGCGUAAAGCGCGCGUAGGCGGGUCAGUAAGUCUGCCGUGAAAGCCCGGGGCUCAACCCCGGCGGGUCGGUGGAUACUGCUGGUCUUGAAGCGGCCAGGGGAAGAUGGAAUUACCGGUGUAGCGGUGAAAUGCGUAGAUAUCGGUAGGAACACCCGUGGCGAAGGCGGUCUUCUGGGGCUGGCUUGACGCUGAGGCGCGAAAGCUGGGGGAGCGAACGGGAUUAGAUACCCCGGUAGUCCCAGCUGUAAACGAUGGAUACUAGGUGUCGGGGGUAUCGACCCCUCCGGCGCCGUCGCUAACGCAGUAAGUAUCCCGCCUGGGGAGUACGGCCGCAAGGUUG